CCCAGUAGUCUUUUGUCUCGCGAGAGUCCCGGUUUUCGGCGGUGCUUUGUCAAUUGGUCUGGCUCCUCCGACACUUGGAGCCUUUUGCCGGGUCGAGGCUGAGUGGGGCGGCUGUCUGGUGUCGUGGGUACGGCCAGGGACCUUGACGAGGCGCAGGCUGGGAGCUGCGUCUCCUCCCACCCUGGAGCCCGAGGCCCAGGUGAGGAGCGGCCCGGGCACUGGGUUCUCGGGCUGGACCUUUACCUGCCUUCUCCUCCGCAGGAGCGGAGAUGGACUGGCAGAGACGCUCUGCUGCCACUUGACAGAAGGACCCCGUGGUAGGAAAGCGAGACCCGAUUAAGCCCUGCCAGGUACUGACUCACUCCACCUAUGUGGAAGGGUGUGCAACCUUGAAAGGAACAUUUGGAUUAAAAAUAGUGGGUGAACUUGUGGUUCUAAUGCUAACGCCCUUUUUAGUUCAUGGAGUACAGUACAGUAUACUAUGCUUCUAGGGUUUAACCGCCUUAAGUGUCCCAGCCCGUUUUUAAUACGUGCUUUUUCUGCUAAUUUACAGAGUUCAGGUGGAGUCACACUUAACAUUUUGAACUUCGUUUCUAAUGCAGACACUUAAAGCAGUUCUGUUCACCUCCUAAAAAGGUGUUCAAGCUGAGAUGGUAUAUAUAUGAUGCUGAAACCUUCAUCAACUCCUCCAAAGAUUGUUUGCACUCUUCUGUUUGGACUGUUUUUCCAUGUGUGGCUUGUGAAAUCACAGGAGGAGUGACUGUUGCCCAGGUACAUGAUUUGAGCAGAGUCAAACCUGUGGAGUUGAGUGUGACGAAGUAGAGAGCGUGGACCUAGAGGUUUAUUGGGAACCUGGCCCUCUGUUACCGCAGUACCUAAAUUUCUACCUUGUCUUUUCAGGGAGAACGAGAUUCCAUGCUUCGAGUUUUGAAAGGCAUGACUGCAAUUAGCAACGUGUGAAUAACAAACAACAUACACAAUCUCUUCAUCAACAACAAGGAACUGCAUUCUGACCUUCACAUUGUCUACGUGUGCUACUGAGUGUGGGGUCAUAUCCUAAGCUUCAGCUCUAAUAAGCAUUCAUCACAGGGAAGGUACGAUCUUGGAUAUUCAGUUGGCCACAAAUAGCUUUAAAUACAUUUAUGGUCAAGUCAAAUGGUAGCUUUGCUGAAACAUUAAUAGAAAAGCAUUGGUAAUUCAUGUCAGAAUGAGAUACAAAAUAAUAGGUGAAAAAUGAUUUCACAUAAAAGAAAUUUUGAUAAACCUGGAAAACAAUUUCAGUUAUUUUUGUCCAUUAACAUUAGCAUUUUAGUUUAAAGAGCUACUUGAAUCACAUGUUGUUCCUUCCCAUAAGAAGAGAUUUUGAGUACAACAGGAUGAAUUUCUCAUUGAGAAACUUGCUUUUGCCCCAGUUUCCUUUCUAGUCUCCAGUAGGACACUGUCAUCAUUCAGUAUUGGUAUUGUAGCAACUUAGAUGCACCAAAUUGCAACACAUAGGACUUAAGUCAGAGCCCCAUGGCAGUGACUCUGGAAAGACUAGUUUUAUUAGUUAUACUAUUAAGGGUUUUUUGUUGCUGUUUUAAGACUCCCAGAAAUCCAAAUUUACAUUUUGUGGAACAUGAGCCAAAACUAAUUGAGGUUGUUAUGGAAAAAUGGUCUCAUUUUAAUGGUCUAUAUAUAUUACCUCUGGGACCCUGCUGGUCAAAGCUGUGUGGCCCACAAGGCAAAAAUUAGAAUGAUGUUUUUCAUAUUGUCUUAGUUUUUUAUUACUGACUUUGUUACAGCUUGAUCUUUGGAGGUGCUUUGUACUGUGUAAAUGAAAUUUACUGAAAAUGUACAUAAAUAACUGACGUCCCAAUAAACCAUAAAUUGAUUUUUU
Long non-coding RNA from Acinonyx jubatus (cheetah), 1879 nucleotides. RefSeq lists it as uncharacterized. The record is from RefSeq and is a predicted model, not a curated record. The transcript is spliced from 4 exons. Lineage: Eukaryota; Metazoa; Chordata; Mammalia; Carnivora; Felidae.